Molecule: ribosomal RNA, 1441 nt
Filed under: uncultured organism
Description: SSU rRNA
Rfam family: Bacterial small subunit ribosomal RNA
Source: RNAcentral
UUGCUACAGGCUUAACACAUGCAAGUCGAGGGGCAGCAUGGUCUUAGCUUGCUAAGGCCGAUGGCGACCGGCGCACGGGUGAGUAACGCGUAUCCAACCUGCCUUACACUCUUGGACAGCCUUCUGAAAGGGAGAUUAAUACAAGAUGUUAUCAUGAGUAAGCAUUUUCGCAUGAUUAAAGGUUUACCGGUGUAAGAUGGGGAUGCGUUCCAUUAGAUAGUAGGCGGGGUAACGGCCCACCUAGUCUUCGAUGGAUAGGGGUUCUGAGAGGAAGGUCCCCCACAUUGGAACUGAGACACGGUCCAAACUCCUACGGGAGGCAGCAGUGAGGAAUAUUGGUCAAUGGGCGAGAGCCUGAACCAGCCAAGUAGCGUGAAGGAUGACUGCCCUAUGGGUUGUAAACUUCUUUUAUAAAGGAAUAAAGUCGGGUAUGGAUACCCGUUUGCAUGUACUUUAUGAAUAAGGAUCGGCUAACUCCGUGCCAGCAGCCGCGGUAAUACGGAGGAUCCGAGCGUUAUCCGGAUUUAUUGGGUUUAAAGGGAGCGUAGAUGGAUGUUUAAGUCAGUUGUGAAAGUUUGCGGCUCAACCGUAAAAUUGCAGUUGAUACUGGAUAUCUUGAGUGCAGUUGAGGCAGGCGGAAUUCGUGGUGUAGCGGUGAAAUGCUUAGAUAUCACGAAGAACUCCGAUUGCGAAGGCAGCCUGCUAAGCUGCAACUGACAUUGAGGCUCGAAAGUGUGGGUAUCAAACAGGAUUAGAUACCCUGGUAGUCCACACGGUAAACGAUGAAUACUCGCUGUUUGCGAUAUACAGCAAGCGGCCAAGCGAAAGCGUUAAGUAUUCCACCUGGGGAGUACGCCGGCAACGGUGAAACUCAAAGGAAUUGACGGGGGCCCGCACAAGCGGAGGAACAUGUGGUUUAAUUCGAUGAUACGCGAGGAACCUUACCCGGGCUUAAAUUGCAGAUGAAUUACGGUGAAAGCCGUAAGCCGCAAGGCAUCUGUGAAGGUGCUGCAUGGUUGUCGUCAGCUCGUGCCGUGAGGUGUCGGCUUAAGUGCCAUAACGAGCGCAACCCUUGUUGUCAGUUACUAACAGGUUCCGCUGAGGACUCUGACAAGACUGCCAUCGUAAGAUGUGAGGAAGGUGGGGAUGACGUCAAAUCAGCACGGCCCUUACGUCCGGGGCUACACACGUGUUACAAUGGGGGGUACAGAGGGCCGCUACCACGCGAGUGGAUGCCAAUCCCCAAAACCUCUCUCAGUUCGGACUGGAGUCUGCAACCCGACUCCACGAAGCUGGAUUCGCUAGUAAUCGCGCAUCAGCCACGGCGCGGUGAAUACGUUCCCGGGCCUUGUACACACCGCCCGUCAAGCCAUGGGAGCCGGGGGUACCUGAAGUGCGUAACCGCGAGGAGCGCCCUAGGGUAAAACUGGUGACUGGGGCU